UGCACUUUUUGGUAAGAAGAUGUUAACAAAAGUUGUUCGUCAUGAUGAGGGCUACAACUUUGCUUAAUAUCCUUUUAACAAAUUAUGCGUAUUUAAGGAGAUAGGGCUGCGCAUGCGCAGAACGUAUCUCCUUACCUUUGCACUUUUUGGUAAGAAGAUGUUAAUAAAAGUUGUUCGUGUUGAUGAGGGCUACAACUUUGCUUAAUAUCCUUUUAACAAAUUAUGCG
This is a non-coding RNA of Paramuricea clavata, 227 nucleotides long. Lineage: Eukaryota; Metazoa; Cnidaria; Anthozoa; Malacalcyonacea; Plexauridae. The record is from the annotation of a GenBank genome assembly.